GAGAUAACUCCUACGGGAGGCAGCAGUGGGGAAUUUUGGACAAUGGGGGCAACCCUGAUCCAGCAAUGCCGCGUGAGUGAAGAAGGCCUUCGGGUUGUAAAGCUCUUUUGUCAGGGAAGAAACGGUAGUAGCUAAUAUCUAUUACUAAUGACGGUAACUGAAGAAUAAGCACCGGCUAACUACGUGCCAGCAGCCGCGGUAAUACGUAGGGUGCAAGCGUUAAUCGGAAUUACUGGGCGUAAAGCGUGCGCAGGCGGUUGUGUAAGUCAGAUGUGAAAUCCCCGGGCUCAACCUGGGAAUUGCAUUUGAGACUGCACGGCUGGAGUGUGUCGGAGGGGGGUGGAAUUCCGCGUGUAGCAGUGAAAGGCGUAGAUAUGGGGAGGAAUACCGAUGGCGAAGGCAGCCCCCUGGGAUAACACUGACGCUCAUGCACGAAAGCGUGGGGAGCAAACAGGAUUAGAAACCCUAGUAGUCCUCCACU
This 481-nucleotide ribosomal RNA is filed under the name uncultured bacterium. Its description in RNAcentral is "bacterial SSU rRNA". It matches the Rfam family "Bacterial small subunit ribosomal RNA", at positions 329 to 803 of the family's 1533-position model. The record is from RNAcentral.